UAGAGUUUGAUCAUGGCUCAGAUUGAACGCUGGCGGCAGGCUUAACACAUGCAAGUCGAGCGGUAACAGAAAUAGCUUGCUAUUUGCUGAUGAGCGGCGGACGGGUGAGUAAUGCUUGGGAAUAUGCCUUAUGGUGGGGGACUACAGUUGGAAACGACUGCUAAUACCGCAUAAUGUCUACGGACCAAAGGGGGGGAUCUUCGGACCUCUCGCCAUUUGAUUAGCCCAAGUGAGAUUAGCUAGUUGGUAAGGUAAUGGCUUACCAAGGCGACGAUCUCUAGCUGGUUUGAGAGGAUGAUCAGCCACACUGGGACUGAGACACGGCCCAGACUCCUACGGGAGGCAGCAGUGGGGAAUAUUGCACAAUGGGGGAAACCCUGAUGCAGCCAUGCCGCGUGUGUGAAGAAGGCCUUCGGGUGUAAAGCACUUUCAGUUGUGAGGAAAGGUGUGUAGUUAAUAGCUGCAUACUGUGACGUUAACAACAGAAGAAGCACCGGCUAACUUCGUGCCAGCAGCCGCGGUAAUACGAGGGGUGCAAGCGUUAAUCGGAAUUACUGGGCGUAAAGCGUUCGUAGGCGGUUGAAUAAGCAAGAUGUGAAAGCCCAGGGCUCAACCUUGGAACUGCAUUUUGAACUGUUCGACUAGAGUACUGUAGAGGAGGGUAGAAUUUCA
RNAcentral lists this ribosomal RNA (672 nucleotides) under uncultured Vibrionaceae bacterium. RNAcentral's name for it is "bacterial SSU rRNA". It matches the Rfam family "Bacterial small subunit ribosomal RNA", at positions 1 to 671 of the family's 1533-position model. Lineage: Bacteria; Pseudomonadati; Pseudomonadota; Gammaproteobacteria; Vibrionales; Vibrionaceae. The record is from RNAcentral.